Molecule: ribosomal RNA, 313 nt
Filed under: uncultured bacterium
Lineage: Bacteria
Description: bacterial SSU rRNA
Rfam family: Bacterial small subunit ribosomal RNA
Source: RNAcentral
AUCGCAAGACCUCUCGCUAUUGGAGCGGCCGAUGUCAGAUUAGGUAGUUGGUAGGGUAAAAGCCUACCAAGCCUAUGAUCUGUAGCUGGUCUGAGAGGACGACCAGCCACACUGGGACUGAGACACGGCCCAGACUCCUACGGGAGGCAGCAGUGGGGAAUUUUGGACAAUGGGCGCAAGCCUGAUCCAGCCAUGCCGCGUGCGGGAAGAAGGCCUUCGGGUUGUAAACCGCUUUUGUCAGGGAAGAAAAGCGCCAGGUUAAUACCUUGGCGUCAUGACGGUACCUGAAGAAUAAGCACCGGCUAACUACGUG